Molecule: long non-coding RNA, 403 nt
Filed under: Rattus norvegicus (Norway rat)
Lineage: Eukaryota; Metazoa; Chordata; Mammalia; Rodentia; Muridae
Description: long non-coding RNA NONRATT033214
Source: RNAcentral
CAAUGUUCCAGGCCUAUGGCUGCUGCUUCUCUUCUCAGCUUGAGAACUAAAGGCAUACCACAGCCUAGAAUCUUUUGGUGUGCUGACAAUUGGCUUCCCAAGUCUCAACUUUCUCCACUAUGAAACAGGUCUUCAGAGGGAUGUUGAGAAGAAUGUUCUAGAAGAACCAGGUGCCAGCACAUGAGGACCAGCCAGUCCCAGAGGGCAGGGGUCAUUGUCGGAGAAGACCACACCUACUUCCCCUUCUGCCUGCUGGACUUUGAAUCCAACUGGAGACUGACCUUUGGAAAUGGAAGGACCACGUUGACCCCUUCAGCAAGAAAUUCCACGUGCAGUUAGAAAACACUGGUAAGUUUAGGACCAUCUGGAAAAGUCUUGAAGUAACCAAAUGCCUGCCAACAAG